This is a non-coding RNA of Camelina sativa (false flax), 197 nucleotides long. The record is from RefSeq and is a predicted model, not a curated record. NCBI's taxonomy places the organism in Eukaryota, Viridiplantae, Streptophyta, Magnoliopsida, Brassicales, Brassicaceae.
UUUGACAAAUACAAAACAGGAUGACAUUAAAUUGAUGAAGGAGAUAAACAUGGACUCUUUCCGAUUCUCAAUCUCUUGGUCCAGAUUAAUUCCUAGUGGAAAGCUGAAGGAUGGAGUAAACAAAGAAGGUGUACAAUUCUACAAAGAUCUCAUAGACGAACUUCUUGCUAAUGGCAUACAGCCUUCAAUGACACUAU